GCAGUUGAGCGGAGAUAUUGGAGCUUGCUUUAUAUAACUUAGCAGCGAACGGGUGAGUAACACGUAGAUAAUCUAUCCUAUACUGGGGGAUAGCCCGAUGAAAGUUGGAUUAAUACCGCAUAUAGCUAUAUAGUUGCAUGAUUAUGUAGUGAAAGAUUUAUUGGUAUAGGAGGAGUCUGCGGCACAUUAGCUAGUAGGUGAGGUAAAGGCUUACCUAGGCGACGAUGUGUAGCCGGUCUGAGAGGAUGAACGGCCACAAUGGAACUGAGACACGGUCCAUACUCCUACGGGAGGCAGCAGUGGGGAAUAUUGCACAAUGGGGGAAACCCUGAUGCAGCAACGCCGCGUGAGUGAAGAAGGUUUUCGGAUUGUAAAGCUCUGU
Molecule: ribosomal RNA, 382 nt
Filed under: uncultured bacterium
Lineage: Bacteria
Description: bacterial SSU rRNA
Rfam family: Bacterial small subunit ribosomal RNA
Source: RNAcentral